RNAcentral lists this ribosomal RNA (440 nucleotides) under uncultured bacterium. Its description in RNAcentral is "partial 16S ribosomal RNA". It matches the Rfam family "Bacterial small subunit ribosomal RNA", at positions 338 to 795 of the family's 1533-position model. The record is from RNAcentral.
CCUACGGGAGGCAGCAGUGGGGAAUAUUGCGCAAUGGGGGAAACCCUGAUGCAGCGACGCCGCGUGAGUGAAGACGUAUUUCGGUAUGUAAAGCUCUAUCCGCAGGGAAGAAGCAAGACGGUACCUGACUAAGAAGCCCCGGCUAACUACGUGCCAGCAGCCGCGGUAAUACGUAGGGGGCAAGCGUUAUCCGGAUUUACUGGGUGUAAGGGAGCGUAGACGGCUGUGCAAGUCAGAGGUGAAAGCCCAGGGCUCAACCCUGGGACUGCUUUUGAAACUGGGGAGCUAGAGUGCGGGAGAGGUAAGCGGAAUUCCUGGUGUAGCGGUGAAAUGCGUAGAUAUCAGGAGGAACACCAGUGGCGAAGGCGGCUUACUGGACAGCAACUGACGUUGAGGCUCGAAAGCGUGGGGAGCAAACAGGAUUAGAUACCCGGGUAGUC